CGUGAGCAACCUACCGAACUGUGGGGGAGUAGCCGGCCUAACGGCCGAGUAAUACCGCAUACGCUCUCAGAGAGGCAUUUCAUUGAGAGGAAACCUACGGGACAGAUCGAGGGGCUCGCGGCCUAUCAGCUAGUUGGCGAGGUAACGGCUCACCAAGGCAACGACGGGUAGCUGGUCUGAGAGGAUGGCCAGCCACAUUGGGACUGAGAUACGGCCCAG
This 219-nucleotide ribosomal RNA is filed under the name uncultured bacterium. Its description in RNAcentral is "partial 16S ribosomal RNA". It matches the Rfam family "Bacterial small subunit ribosomal RNA", at positions 116 to 334 of the family's 1533-position model. The record is from RNAcentral.